GUUCACUACCGGCAACUGGGAUCACGGUGCAGAGUACCUAGCGUGAGUCAGCAGUGGAGCAGUAUGGACUAUGGUGAAUGCAUGCAACUAGUCCAUCCCGCCAUGGGUGAAGGACAGGUAUGACGGAUCGUAUAGGCACUUUAAAGUGGUGAGGACAGGGCAGUAAAGCCGUAUACACUGGUAGUUAGACGAUAUCUGCCUGAAUAAGCACGAUCUACUUACUGCGCCAGCAGCCGCGGUGGUACUGAGGGGGCUACCGGUAAUCUCAGUUUCUGGGGGUAUAGCGCGGGUAGUUGGUUGUCUAAUAAGUAAGUGAAAUACGCGGGCUCAUCAUGGGACGCGCAUCCAAAACUGGCGAGCUAGAGUAAUGCAGAGGAAGUGGGAAUAUCAUGUCUAGCGGUGAAGAAAGUAGAUAUAGGAUGGAACACCUGUGGCGAAGAAGACCACUCGGGCUCAUAGUGACACUGAGGUGCGAAAGCGUGGGGAGCAAACAGGAUUAGAUACCCUGGUAGUUAGUCGCACGUAAACGAUGUCAAAUAGCUCGUUGGAAUCCUUGAGAUUUUAAGGGCGCAAGUAACGCAUUAAAUUGACCCCCUGGGGAGUACGGCCGCAAGGUUAAAAAUCAAAAGAAUUGACGGGGGGCCGCCCAAGCGGUGGAGCAUGUGGUUUAAUUUGAAGCAACGCGAAGAACCUUUCCAGGCCUUGACAUCCAAUGAAAUUUCCAGAGAUGGGAUCAUUCCUUCGGGACCAGUAAGUCAGGUGUUCCAUGGCGUUGUUCAGUUGGUGUCGUGGGAUGUUGGGUUAAUUCCGCUAACGAGGCCAACCCUUGUCUUUAGUUACCAGCACUUUAUGGUGGGCAUUUUAACGGGACUGCCGGUGACAAACCGGAGGAAGGGGGGGAGGAGGUCAAGUCUUCAUGGCCCUUACUGCGGGGGUUACACACGUGUUCCAAUGGUCGGUACAGAGGGUCGCCAAGCCGCGAGGUGGAGUAAUUCUCACAAAACCGUUCCUAGUCCGGAUGGCAUUUUGCAAUUGGCCUGCGUGAAGUGGGAAUCGUUGGUAAUCGCGAACCAGAAGACGCC
RNAcentral lists this ribosomal RNA (1082 nucleotides) under Pseudomonas sp. NSJ-3. RNAcentral's name for it is "bacterial SSU rRNA". It matches the Rfam family "Bacterial small subunit ribosomal RNA", at positions 303 to 1358 of the family's 1533-position model. The record is from RNAcentral. Lineage: Bacteria; Pseudomonadati; Pseudomonadota; Gammaproteobacteria; Pseudomonadales; Pseudomonadaceae.